CGGUUUCGGUUCCCCCGCCAGGGGGCCAAGAGGGAAUCAGGUGAGAAUCCUGAACAGUCCCGCUGCUGUGAGUUCCAGAGAGAUACACCCACUCGCCUACAGUGUGCCACUGUGGUCUGAACACGCCAUGGGAAGGCUGCGAGAAGGGGCAAAGAGUCCUAUUGGGCGUAGGAACAAGUCAGAAGACCUGCCAAACCAC
Molecule: non-coding RNA, 199 nt
Filed under: bovine gut metagenome
Source: RNAcentral